UUACCUGGGCCGUAAAGCGUGCGCAGGCGGUUUUGUAAGACAGAGGUGAAAUCCCCGGGCUCAACCUGGGAACUGCCUUUGUGACUGCAAGGCUGGAGUGCGGCAGAGGGGGAUGGAAUUCCGCGUGUAGCAGUGAAAUGCGUAGAUAUGCGGAGGAACACCGAUGGCGAAGGCAAUCCCCUGGGCCUGCACUGACGCUCAUGCACGAAAGCGUGGGGAGCAAACAGGAUUAGAUACCCUGGUAGUCCACGCCCUAAACGAUGUCAACUGGUUGUUGGGUCUUCACUGACUCAGUAACGAAGCUAACGCGUGAAGUUGACCGCCUGGGGAGUACGGCCGCAAGGUUGAAACUCAAAUGAAUUGACGG
This 367-nucleotide ribosomal RNA is filed under the name uncultured bacterium. RNAcentral's name for it is "bacterial SSU rRNA". It matches the Rfam family "Bacterial small subunit ribosomal RNA", at positions 547 to 916 of the family's 1533-position model. The record is from RNAcentral.